GACGAACGCUGGCGGCGUGCCUAAUACAUGCAAGUAGAACGCACAGUUUAUACCGUAGCUUGCUACACCAUAGACUGUGAGUUGCGAACGGGUGAGUAACGCGUAGGUAACCUGCCUGGUAGCGGGGGAUAACUAUUGGAAACGAUAGCUAAUACCGCAUAAUAUUAAUUAUUGCAUGAUAAUUAAUUGAACGGUGCAAUUGCACCACUACCAGAUGGACCUGCGUUGUAUUAGCUAGUAGGUGAGGUAACGGCUCACCUAGGCGACGAUACAUAGCCGACCUGAGAGGGUGAUCGGCCACACUGGGACUGAGACACGGCCCAGACUCCUACGGGAGGCAGCAGUAGGGAAUCUUCGGCAAUGGACGAAAGUCUGACCGAGCAACGCCGCGUGAGUGAAGAAGGUUGUCGGAUCGUAAAGCUCUGUUGUAAGAGAAGAACGGGUGUGAGAGUGGAAAGUUCACACUGUGACGGUAUCUUACCAGAAAGGGACGGCUAACUACGUG
This 505-nucleotide ribosomal RNA is filed under the name uncultured bacterium. RNAcentral describes it as "partial 16S ribosomal RNA". It matches the Rfam family "Bacterial small subunit ribosomal RNA", at positions 28 to 507 of the family's 1533-position model. The record is from RNAcentral.